AUUGAACGCUGGCGGCAUGCUUUACACAUGCAAGUCGAAUGGUAACAGGCCGCAAGGUGCUGACGAGUGGCGAACGGGUGAGUAAUGCAUCGGAACGCGCCCAGUCGUGGGGGAUAACUACUCGAAAGAGUAGCUAAUACCGCAUACGAUCUAUGGAUGAAAGCGGGGGACCGUAAGGCCUCGCGCGAUUGGAGCGGCCGAUGUCAGAUUAGGUAGUUGGCGGGGUAAAGGCUCACCAAGCCAACGAUCUGUAGCUGGUCUGAGAGGACGACCAGCCACACUGGGACUGAGACACGGCCCAGACUCCUACGGGAGGCAGCAGUGGGGAAUUUUGGACAAUGGGCGCAAGCCUGAUCCAGCAAUGCCGCGUGCAGGAAGAAGGCCUUCGGGUUGUAAACUGCUUUUGUACGGAACGAAACGGCUCUGGUUAAUACCCGGGGCUAAUGACGGUACCGUAAGAAUAAGCACCGGCUAACUACGUG
Molecule: ribosomal RNA, 482 nt
Filed under: uncultured bacterium
Lineage: Bacteria
Description: partial 16S ribosomal RNA
Rfam family: Bacterial small subunit ribosomal RNA
Source: RNAcentral